Varanus komodoensis (Komodo dragon) is the source of this 485-nucleotide long non-coding RNA. RefSeq lists it as uncharacterized. NCBI's taxonomy places the organism in Eukaryota, Metazoa, Chordata, Lepidosauria, Squamata, Varanidae. The transcript has 5 exons. The record is from RefSeq and is a predicted model, not a curated record.
UGAGAGUGGGGAGGGGAGAAGCCAGCGCAGGCUGCGAUCCCGGACGGCAGGAGCCGCCGGUGGAGAAAGCGACAGGCACAGAGUCCUCUGUCCGGCCAGAAGAAGAGCUCAAAAUUACUCACCAGGAAGAAGCCAUGGAACUGAAUGCAAAGGAGCAACCCAGCUCCCCACAGAAGCAGGGAGUGAAGGCUCGUUCCAAAUCCACUGAGGAUAUCCAGCCUGCCAAGAAGGCCUUUCACACUCCCCAGAAGUCCUUGCCUAACCAGAUGGACGAUGACGAGUCCAAGGGUUCCUGUCCCAUCCCGCCACCCAGUGCAACUCAGCAGCAGCAGCAACCCUGAGAGGAGCAGGAUCUGCUCGAGCGCUGCUUGCAAGGAGGGGAGCUGUUCACGCCCCUCGUGCCGCUCCUACCCCUGUGGAUGUCACCGUGGUUCUGUCUGUCCAGCUGUCGCUUUCCAACUGUCUGUCCUCUCUGUGGAAUAAGA